GACGAACGCUGGCGGCGUGCCUAAUACAUGCAAGUUGAGCGCUGAAGGCUGGUACUUGUGCCAACUGGGUGAGCAGCGAACGGGUGAGUAACGCGUGGGGAAUCUGCCUUUGAGCGGGGGACAACAUGGGGAAACGAAUGAUAAUACCGCAUAAAAACUUGAAACACAAGGUGGAAGGGUGAAAGAUGCAAGUGCAUCACGCAAAGACGAUCCCGCGGUGUGUUAGCUAGUUGGUGAGGUACAUGCGCAUCAAGGCGGUGAUAGAUAGCCGAACUGAGAGGGUGGUUGGCCACCCUGGGACGGUGACACGCCCCAAACGCCUUCGGGUGGCACCCGUAGGGCAUCGUCGGCCAUCGGCGGAAGUCUGAGCGAGCUACGCCGCGUGCGUGUAGAACGUUUUCGGGUCGUGAAUCUCUGUUGUUGGAGAAGAACGUUGGUUAGCGUGGAACGCUCAUCAAGUGACGGUAACUGCCCAGAAAGCACCGGCUAACUACGUG
Molecule: ribosomal RNA, 497 nt
Filed under: uncultured bacterium
Lineage: Bacteria
Description: partial 16S ribosomal RNA
Rfam family: Bacterial small subunit ribosomal RNA
Source: RNAcentral